Eriocheir sinensis (Chinese mitten crab) is the source of this 812-nucleotide long non-coding RNA. RefSeq lists it as uncharacterized. The transcript is spliced from 6 exons. The record is from RefSeq and is a predicted model, not a curated record. NCBI's taxonomy places the organism in Eukaryota, Metazoa, Arthropoda, Malacostraca, Decapoda, Varunidae.
GCCAAACGUAAACAAACCAAUCCUGACACUCGUGCUGGACGCCGCCCACGGGACCCCGCCACUCAGCGCCCUUUCCCUCCCACUGGUGACGUGCCCUUCUAGCUACUGGACCAUCACUGCCCCUGAAGUCAUCAGUGGAUGGCAGACAUGAGUGAAGCAGUCCUCUGGCCGCCACAGCAGGUUGGAGACCUGUAACACUGACACUGCUCCAGCGGAACCAGACUUGAACGGUGCCAGGGAGACCAACGCUGUGUGAGUGUCUCAGUGGCUUACUGUGCUGCGCCAAGGUGUUGACAAGUAACGUGGAGGUUGAGCCGCUGGACCCACCACCCAUCGGCAAGUGUUCCAGGAGGCAAGAAGGAGUGACUCUACACCAUGGAACUUUGACAGACCUCCUCCUCCUGCCUUCAAGUCUGGCCAAGAUGUGUGAAGAAGAGGAAGAAGAGGAAGGCUCAGGAGGAAGGAAAGUCCUUCACUGCAUUGAGACUCAAGGGAAGGAGCCGAGAUGAGACCAGACUCAGCCCUCCAGUGAGCCCAGGUGACCACCAGGGGGACACCCACGCACCUCAUGGCUUAGGGGAAAAUGCAUGAAGGUGGUGGGUGAGUGAAGCAACGCACCCCCUGUGUAUGCUCAGGUCCCAGGCUACGUCAGGUCAGGGGCUGCCUCAAGAACAGGUCAUUUCUCUCCACACUUUCCUCCAUUUUUCUCCUGUUUUCUCUACCUCUUCCUCCUUUCCUCCUAUGCCCAAAAAUUGCUUAAUCUUUCCUCUUCCUCCCCCUGUCUUCCGCUUCUUCCUCCUCCUCCCCCUGUC